AAACCAACUGGGAUUACCUUAGUAACGGCGAGUGAAGCGGUAAAAGCUCAAAUUUGAAAUCUGGUACUUUCAGUGCCCGAGUUGUAAUUUGUAGAAUUUGUCUUUGAUUAGGUCCUUGUCUAUGUUCCUUGGAACAGGACGUCAUAGAGGGUGAGAAUCCCGUUUGGCGAGGAUACCUUUUUCUGUAAGACUUUUUCGAAGAGUCGAGUUGUUUGGGAAUGCAGCUCAAAGUGGGUGGUAAAUUCCAUCUAAAGCUAAAUAUUGGCGAGAGACCGAUAGCGAACAAGUACAGUGAUGGAAAGAUGAAAAGAACUUUGAAAAGAGAGUGAAAAAGUACGUGAAAUUGUUGAAAGGGAAGGGCAUUUGAUCAGACAUGGUGUUUUUGCAUGCACUCGCCUCUCGUGGGCUUGGGCCUCUCAAAAAUUUCACUGGGCCAACAUCAAUUCUGGCAGCAGGAUAAAUCAUUAAGAAUGUAGCUACUUCGGUAGUGUUAUAGCUUUUUGGAAUACUGUUAGCCGGGAUUGA
RNAcentral lists this ribosomal RNA (525 nucleotides) under uncultured Hanseniaspora. RNAcentral's name for it is "eukaryotic LSU rRNA". It matches the Rfam family "Eukaryotic large subunit ribosomal RNA", at positions 62 to 590 of the family's 3401-position model. The record is from RNAcentral. Lineage: Eukaryota; Fungi; Ascomycota; Saccharomycetes; Saccharomycodales; Saccharomycodaceae.